AUACCAGACUCCUACGGGAGGCAGCAGUGGGGGAUAUUGCACAAUGGGGGGAACCCUGAUGCAGCGACGCCGCGUGGGUGAAGGAGCGUUUCGGCGCGUAAAGCCCUAUCAGCAGGAAAGAAAAUGACGGUACCUGACUAAGAAGCCCCGGCUAACUACGUGCCAGCAGCCGCGGUAAUACGUAGGGGGCAAGCGUUAUCCGGAUUUACUGGGUGUAAAGGGGGCGUAGACGGCAGUGCAAGUCCGGAGUGAAAGCCCGGGGCUCAACCCUGGGACUGCUCUGGAAACUGUAAAGCUGGAGUGCGGGAGGGGCAGGCGGAAUUCCUGGUGUAGCGGUGAAAUGCGUAGAUAUCAGGAGGAACACCGGCGGCGAAGGCGGCCUGCUGGACCGUAACUGACGUUGAGGCUCGAAAGCGUGGGGAGCAAACAGGAUUAGAUACCCUCGUA
RNAcentral lists this ribosomal RNA (447 nucleotides) under uncultured bacterium. Its description in RNAcentral is "partial 16S ribosomal RNA". It matches the Rfam family "Bacterial small subunit ribosomal RNA", at positions 328 to 792 of the family's 1533-position model. The record is from RNAcentral.